UGCGAUUCAAUUGGGUUGUUUAAGGUUGUAACCUUAUACAAACCACACCCACUAGAUAAUCAUGACAGUCUGAUUAACUUCCGAUAGAGAUGAGCAAUAAGUGAUAUACUGUAGAAAUUCGCUCAGGGUGGGAUCCCCUUUUAUAUCUCAAACUCAUCUGGGAUUCCUAAAGGGGAUCCCGCAUUUUUGUAUCGAGAAAUUCUUCGAAGUUGUUUUAUCGAAGGAAGCAAGUGUACAGUUGCUUCCACAGUAGCAAGGUCAAAAGGUGGCCACCUUAUACUGUACAAGUAAGGUCGACCUCAAAACCCCUAUAGAAAAGGUUUUUUCAUCAUUAGAAAACCCUUUAAUUGUUCUUCUUGACCUCAAAAUGUAAGGAUAUUAAAGAAAAAAUGAUUUUUAAAUAUUAAAAUUGAUAUAUCUUGCAACACAUUAUCUAGACCGUCUAUUGUCAAAAUUUUCGUGUGUUUAUAGAUGUGCUAGAUGUACCAUUUAUGGAGCUUUCAAUUUCAUAAUAGGUAGAAAAGUAGAUUUUCAGGUCUUCAAAAGAGUUUUGGCACCAAAAAUGCAUCUUUUAACAAGAUUUUGAGGUACAAUUUACCUUGAUUUUUAAAACUUGAUACCUUAUACAACCUCACCCAAUUCUAAAUUGUGUGUGCUCUAAGAUCAGUU
Molecule: long non-coding RNA, 669 nt
Filed under: Amborella trichopoda
Lineage: Eukaryota; Viridiplantae; Streptophyta; Magnoliopsida; Amborellales; Amborellaceae
Description: long non-coding RNA (ATRI_LNC000354)
Source: RNAcentral